RNAcentral lists this ribosomal RNA (463 nucleotides) under uncultured bacterium. RNAcentral describes it as "partial 16S ribosomal RNA". It matches the Rfam family "Bacterial small subunit ribosomal RNA", at positions 28 to 507 of the family's 1533-position model. The record is from RNAcentral.
GAUGAACGCUGACAGAAUGCUUAACACAUGCAAGUCUUUGGCGAAGCUGUGCUUGCACAGCCUAGCCAAGGCGGACGGGUGAGUAACGCGUAAGGAACUUGCCCUGCAGUCAGGGAUAACAGACGGAAACGACUGAUAAGACCUGGUAAAGUCAGGCGGACUCAUGUCCAGCCUGAUGAAAAGAGAUGCUGCAGGAGAGCCUUGCGUCCUAUUAGCUUGUUGGUGGGGUAACGGCCCACCAAGGCGAUGAUAGGUAGCCGGCCUGAGAGGGUGGACGGCCACAAGGGGACUGAGAUACGGCCCUUACUCCUACGGGAGGCAGCAGUGGGGAAUAUUGGACAAUGGGGGCAACCCUGAUCCAGCCAUUCUGUGUGCACGAUGAAGGUUUUCGGAUUGUAAAGUGCUUUCAGCAGGGAAGAAAAAAAUGACGGUACCUGCAGAAGAAGCGACGGCUAAAUACGUG